RNAcentral lists this ribosomal RNA (467 nucleotides) under uncultured bacterium. RNAcentral's name for it is "partial 16S ribosomal RNA". It matches the Rfam family "Bacterial small subunit ribosomal RNA", at positions 28 to 506 of the family's 1533-position model. The record is from RNAcentral.
GACGAACGCUGGCGGCGUGCUUAACACAUGCAAGUCGAACGGAAAGGCCCUGCUUUUGUGGGGUGCUCGAGUGGCGAACGGGUGAGUAACACGUGAGUAACCUGCCCUUGACUUUGGGAUAACUUCAGGAAACUGGGGCUAAUACCGGAUAGGAGCUCCUGCUGCAUGGUGGGGGUUGGAAAGUUUCGGCGGUUGGGGAUGGACUCGCGGCUUAUCAGCUUGUUGGUGGGGUAGUGGCUUACCAAGGCUUUGACGGGUAGCCGGCCUGAGAGGGUGACCGGCAACAUGGGGACUGGGAUACGGCCCAGACUCCUACGGGAGGCAGCAGUGGGGAAUAUUGCACAAGGGGCGGAAGCCUGAUGCAGCAACGCCGCGUGCGGGAGGACGGCCUUCGGGUGGUAAACCGCUUUCGCCUGUGACGAAGCGUGAGGGACGGUAAUGGGUAAAGAAGCACCGGCUAACUACGU